RNAcentral lists this non-coding RNA (190 nucleotides) under unclassified sequences. RNAcentral describes it as "RAGATH-7 RNA". It matches the Rfam family "RAGATH-7 RNA". From Rfam's summary of the family: RNA motif Associated with Genes Associated with Twister and Hammerhead ribozymes (RAGATH). The record is from Rfam by way of RNAcentral.
CAUAAUCCUAUUUACGAUGCACAAGUAAAGACAGAUUAUGAAUCCACGUGGUAAGGACACAGUUAGGUUCGCUGUGAGUGCAUCCUUUAGUAGCAACUAACCAAAGCAAGUAUAGAUGGGAAUAAGCUAUUACCUCGAUAGGCUUAAUGAGGUGCUUGACAGUCUGACACUAACUGAACAAUAAGUGUCA